This 550-nucleotide transfer RNA is filed under the name Pseudomonas putida. Its description in RNAcentral is "partial may contain 16S ribosomal RNA, 16S-23S ribosomal RNA intergenic spacer, and 23S ribosomal RNA". The stretch from base 189 to 261 matches the Rfam family "tRNA". The record is from RNAcentral. Lineage: Bacteria; Pseudomonadati; Pseudomonadota; Gammaproteobacteria; Pseudomonadales; Pseudomonadaceae.
GGGGGGGGUGGGGUAUAAGUCAUCCUAUAUCGACGACAUCAGCCUGCUGAUGAGCUCCCACACGAAUUGCUUGAUUCAUUGUCUAAGACCAUCAAUACCCUAUAUCCGUCUGUAGCUCCUUUGGCUAAAGCGCACCCCUGAUAACGGUGAGGUCGGCGAUUCAAAUCUGCCCAAACCUACCAAUAUGCGGGGCCAUAUGUCACCUGGGAGAGCGCCUGCCUUGCUCGCAGGACGUCAGCGGUUCCAUCCCGCUUGGCUCCACCACUCGCUUACUUGAUCAGAACUUAUAAAUGAUCAUUCAGAUCGAAUGUUGAUUUCUGACUUUUGUCAGAUCGUUCUUUAAAAAUUCUGAUAUGUGAUAUAUAGACUGACACGCACUUUCACUGGUGUGAUGUCAGGCUAAGGUAAAAUUUGUGAGUUCUGCUCUUAAUUGAGCAACAUGGGAAUUUUCGGCAAAUGUCGUCUUCACUGUAUAACCAGAUUGCUUGGGGUUUAUGUUUGGGUCUCCCAAGUAUACCCAGAUUGCUUGGGGUUAUAUAUGGGUCAAAAA